RNAcentral lists this ribosomal RNA (492 nucleotides) under uncultured bacterium. RNAcentral's name for it is "partial 16S ribosomal RNA". It matches the Rfam family "Bacterial small subunit ribosomal RNA", at positions 29 to 507 of the family's 1533-position model. The record is from RNAcentral.
AGUGAACGCUGGCGGUAUGCCUAACACAUGCAAGUCGAGCGAAAACACAAUAAGCGUUUGCUCCUACCGUUGGCGAGUGACGGGUGGGUAAGACAUACAUAGCAUUCUACUAUUUCGGGGAGAAUAACGUGGAGCCACUUAUGCUACUACCGCAUACGUCCUACGGCUUGAAGCAGUGGAUCUUCACAGUUUUCGCGUUUGUUUGAGCCGAUGUCGGAUUAGCUAGUUGGCUAGGUAACGGCACACCAAGGCAACGAUACGUAGCUGGCCUGAGAGGAUGAUCGGCCACACUGGAACUGAGACACGGUCCAGACUCCUACGGGAGGCAGCAGUAGGGAAUAUUGCGCAAUGGGCGCAAGCCUGACCCAGCCAUGCCGCGUGGGUGAAGAAGGCCUUCGGGUUGUAAAGCCCUUUUGUUGGGGAAGAACAGCAGCGGGUUAAUACCUCGACGUUCUGACGGUACCCAAUCAGAAAGCACCGGCUAACUUCGUG